CCGGAGAAUGUUAUCACGGGAGACACACGGCGGGUGCUAACGUCCGUCGUGAAGAGGGAAACAACCCAGACCGCCAGCUAAGGUCCCAAAGUCAUGGUUAAGUGGGAAACGAUGUGGGAAGGCCCAGACAGCCAGGAUGUUGGCUUAGAAGCAGCCAUCAUUUAAAGAAAGCGUAAUAGCUCACUGGUCGAGUCGGCCUGCGCGGAAGAUGUAACGGGGCUAAACCAUGCACCGAAGCUGCGGCAGCGACGCUUAUGCGUUGUUGGGUAGGGGAGCGUUCUGUAAGCCUGCGAAGGUGUGCUGUGAGGCAUGCUGGAGGUAUCAGAAGUGCGAAUGCUGACAUAAGUAACGAUAAAGCGGGUGAAAAGCCCGCUCGCCGGAAGACCAAGGGUUCCUGUCCAACGUUAAUCGGGGCAGGGUGAGUCGACCCCUAAGGCGAGGCCGAAAGGCGUAGUCGAUGGGAAACAGGUUAAUAUUCCUGUACUUGGUGUUACUGCGAAGGGGGGACGGAGAAGGCUAUGUUGGCCGGGCGACGGUUGUCCCGGUUUAAGCGUGUAGGCUGGUUUUCCAGGCAAAUCCGGAAAAUCAAGGCUGAGGCGUGAUGACGAGGCACUACGGUGCUGAAGCAACAAAUGCCCUGCUUCCAGGAAAAGCCUCUAAGCAUCAGGUAACAUCAAAUCGUACCCCAAACCGACACAGGUGGUCAGGUAGAGAAUACCAAGGCGCUUGAGAGAACUCGGGUGAAGGAACUAGGCAAAAUGGUGCCGUAACUUCGGGAGAAGGCACGCUGAUAUGUAGGUGAAGUCCCUUGCGGAUGGAGCUGAAAUCAGUCGAAGAUACCAGCUGGCUGCAACUGUUUAUUAAAAACACAGCACUGUGCAAACACGAAAGUGGACGUAUACGGUGUGACGCCUGCCCGGUGCCGGAAGGUUAAUUGAUGGGGUCAGCGCAAGCGAAGCUCUUGAUCGAAGCCCCGGUAAACGGCGGCCGUAACUAUAACGGUCCUAAGGUAGCGAAAUUCCUUGUCGGGUAAGUUCCGACCUGCACGAAUGGCGUAAUGAUGGCCAGGCUGUCUCCACCCGAGACUCAGUGAAAUUGAACUCGCUGUGAAGAUGCAGUGUACCCGCGGCAAGACGGAAAGACCCCGUGAACCUUUACUAUAGCUUGACACUGAACAUUGAGCCUUGAUGUGUAGGAUAGGUGGGAGGCUUUGAAGUGUGGACGCCAGUCUGCAUGGAGCCGGCCUUGAAAUACCACCCUUUAAUGUUUGAUGUUCUAACGUGGACCCGUGAUCCGGGUUGCGGACAGUGUCUGGUGGGUAGUUUGACUGGGGCGGUCUCCUCCUAAAGAGUAACGGAGGAGCACGAAGGUUGGCUAAUCCUGGUCGGACAUCAGGAGGUUAGUGCAAUGGCAUAAGCCAGCUUGACUGCGAGCGUGACGGCGCGAGCAGGUGCGAAAGCAGGUCAUAGUGAUCCGGUGGUUCUGAAUGGAAGGGCCAUCGCUCAACGGAUAAAAGGUACUCCGGGGAUAACAGGCUGAUACCGCCCAAGAGUUCAUAUCGACGGCGGUGUUUGGCACCUCGAUGUCGGCUCAUCACAUCCUGGGGCUGAAGUAGGUCCCAAGGGUAUGGCUGUUCGCCAUUUAAAGUGGUACGCGAGCUGGGUUUAGAACGUCGUGAGACAGUUCGGUCCCUAUCUGCCGUGGGCGCUGGAGAACUGAGGGGG
RNAcentral lists this ribosomal RNA (1724 nucleotides) under Shigella sonnei. Its description in RNAcentral is "partial 23S ribosomal RNA". It matches the Rfam family "Bacterial large subunit ribosomal RNA", at positions 962 to 2670 of the family's 2925-position model. Lineage: Bacteria; Pseudomonadati; Pseudomonadota; Gammaproteobacteria; Enterobacterales; Enterobacteriaceae. The record is from RNAcentral.